Pezoporus flaviventris is the source of this 753-nucleotide long non-coding RNA. RefSeq lists it as uncharacterized. The record is from RefSeq and is a predicted model, not a curated record. The transcript has 2 exons. Lineage: Eukaryota; Metazoa; Chordata; Aves; Psittaciformes; Psittacidae.
CACUUGGGUGCAGGUGGUCAGUGUGGGUACCCUUAACUGCUGGCACAUGUCCUCUCCUGGGGCAGCCUACUGCUGCUGCCUGACAUCAGCUGAGGCCAUCUCAAGCAGUGAGAUGAGUACUAGGAUGAAAGCCAAAGAUGGGAGAACCAGGAAGCAGCUUCAGAGUCACUGAGUUACCUCUGGGUUGCUGUCACAUCCAUUAUUCAUUACAAUAACCUUCUGCAGACUAAUGAACACGUGUCCUAUUAGUCCUGCAAUCACCAUGGGGAAAAUAAAAAGCUUUGGACAGUUCUAGGAAGGGUCUCAAUUCCAAGCCAAUUUUAUAUCACAGCCUAUUUUUGGUCAACACUUCCUGUUCGGGUUCUCCUCAGAACUGCUGUUAUGGGAAAUAUAAUUUCUUUCUUAUAAAUGACCAUUUCUUGUUGCCUGCAGCUCAUAUUCUGGGUGGUAAAAGAGGAGGCCUGGGAGUCUUAUCACAGUCAGGGUGAAAUUUAGACCUCAGCCUCAGAGAGUUCAGUAGGGCCAGAAUUACUGAGAUCUCUUUUCAAACAAAAAUAUGUAUUUGGGAAACCUUAUUCAGGAUUCUAUUCACUCAUGUUUCAACAUUGGAUACUCUUUAUUUGCUGCUGGUAACAUUGUUUUUUCCUUACAAAAUAGUUUUUUAGCAAAAUAAAGACUCAAGUCAUUGUUUUGCAAAACUAGCUGACCUUGUCUUCAUUAACGGCGUUUCAAGGCAAACAACAUAACCUCAUA